GAGAACCUUGGAAUCUGGAAUGUCGCAGCCUAGAACCACAGUGAUGGCUCGAGUAGAUUUUAGGCCAGUGCUACCAGGAGCAAGAUUUUGCGCUCCUCCUCCAAAGAAGACCCAAUAGCAGGGAUUUAAGGUUCAGAAAGCUUUUAAAGUGGCUUUACCUCUUGCAAAGAUUGGACACAGAAGCUCAACUAGAAGUACCACCCAAGUCAAAGGACCAUGCUAUAACUGUGGAUAGACGGGACACUUUGCUAAGUUCGGCCCUCGUCCUAAGAAGAAGAAUGAUGUUUAUCCCGGUCGUGUGCAUCUCACCACAACAGAUGAGGUCACUGAUGGAGAACCAGUUAUGGCUGGUACAUUUCUCGUGAACAAUCACCCAGCAGUUGUAUUGUUUCAUUCUCGAUCUUCUCAUUCUUUUAUGAGUACUGAUUUUGCUCAUCAAUUUAACCAAUCAUCUGUGGCAGAACCUCCCAAGUUAUUGCGCCCACAUGCACCUGUCCUUGUCUCAAAGACCUCAGACGGCUAUGCAUGUGCACCAGAUAACUUAACAAGAUCUGUCCGAGUGCCCCAAGGACCUCGAAUAAACCACUUACAGCCAGGAUCAAAAUAUUAAGUAAACACAAAUCACACACCAACAUUUUGCAGCGGAAAUCUUAAUACCAAAUUUUACAAGUUACAUCAAGUUUACAUUGUUUAUCAGAGUGAUUACAGAAGUGGUUCAAAGAAAUAAACUUUGAAAUGUUAUAAAUUGUUUAUAAGUUUGAAAUAUAUGCUAGCUUAAGUGAACAUCCUCAAUAAGAAGUAUAGAAGAAGUACAUAGACUUAUAGAAGGCCGUGCCCACCGGCGCUUAACACCAAUCACAAUCAAAGUGACUCAUAACCUGCAGCAACAAUGGGUAAAACCCUAAGUACGCAAGUACUCAGCAAGACUUACCUGACUAAAGAAAAGGCUCUCAAGGAUAUGCUGGCUUGUCGGGAAUCAAGGUAAGGCUUAUCAAUUUCAAAGACUCAUUUUGCAGAAGAGCUUACUAGUAGUGAGUCCUUAUGCCAACAUUUUACUUCACAAGUUAAGUACUUUUCCUGAAUCUAGAUUUGCCUAAUCUAGAGUAUUCACUUGUCCUGGUCUAGCUUUCUUUUACCCAAAUUCUUAUUUUACUUAUAGACUACGAUGAGUGGUCAGUGAGUUGAGUCUCCAUGACCGAGGAGCAACGACGAUUCGAACCGAUUAUACCCAGGUGGGGAUCCCUAACCACAUGACAUAUGUAGCACUUAACCCUUGCAUAUGUCAACCGUUCCCACAGAUCCUCCACAACGUGAACCGGUCCGCGCUACCUGGGAGCACAGUACUCCUCCAUCCAACCUCUAGCCAGGAGGGAACACCCUACUUCCAGCAUCUCCCAAGCCCAGUGCGCGGUUGUCUUUUCACGUAUGGAAUAGCCAGGUCCAGGCUUACCGGAGCAUGUGGUUAGUUGCAAAGUCUCACCUCAUCAAGCCUACAUCAAAUGGUCCUUAAUUGACAUAGACGGGAAAACUUUCCCGCUCAACGUCUGGUCUCCAUUACAUAUUAUUUCCCAAAACUUGAUACCUGAGAGAGGUACCCUACUUGAAUGAUGAAAUCAUCGCGGCCACAAUGGCUUCAUCAUCACAAGUCAUUUUAUUUCACAAACUCCCAUAUCCCGUGUUACACAUCAUCUUUUAAAAAAACAAUCCUAAAUUAAUAAGCAGGGUUAAGCAUCACUAAAUUUUCAUAAAACGGGUAUUAGGGUUGUUUAAUCAAGGAAGGAAAUGCAUCAACGGUUUAGCACACAACUCCUAUCACCUAAUGCAUCAAACAAGGUGAUAAAAGAUUUUAAAACAGCCAGGAGGUGGCAAAUGCACCGGGGCUUGCCUGAAUAACACUAGGUUAGUGUUUGUUAGGCGACGUCCACUUGACGAUCAUCCUUGUCCUAGCACUUGAUCAGGCAGGUUCGUCCUUCAACAUCACCGUGUGGAUUAGCCCGUGCUUGGGGUCGACUUGGUUCGUCUUCCUUACCACGAGAUUAUUUAUCGUACCUCAUGAGAUACACGAUGCACAUGUAUGAGUACGAGUAUAAAUAGUACAAGAUAGAUAAUUUACGCUAAAAAGGAUGAAACACUUAUAACCUAUAACCAAGCAUAUUUUAUACAAUAUACCAAUUACAACUUUAGAACUAAAAGAUAUAUCGAUGUUACUUGAUCCUAAAUAUUUGAAGUAGCAAUCAACAUUCAUUCAAAUCAUGAAAUCGACCAACACAUAAAAUAUCAUACCUAGUUUAGAGAGCACACUAAACGACUUAUAACUUUAACUUCAAAAUUCUUGGACACCUAACACUUAUAAAAUUUGAUAGAAGAACUUUCAUAAACUUUCUAAACUAAUUUACUGGUUAACCUAUGUAUCAUAUAUAUAAAUAAAACUUCCCAUUUUUAACACCUACAGCCCCGCAACACUGAGACCUAUUGAGACCUCUUUUAUCCUACGACAUCGACCAAUUUACCAAAGCGACUCAGGCAAUCUAAUAAAUAUUAUACCUAGUCAAACCAUCCACCAAUCCACUAACACUAAUAACAAAUUUACUUACCCUGACUAAUUCGACGCGAUAGUCGCAAGCACGACGACGGUUUCCGGUUGACGUCAUUGAUCACACACGUCUAGCGAGCGAGGCAUACAGUUUCCAUUCUUGACCAAAUACCUGUGGGAUUCCUUUUUGUCGAGCUGGUGACGCAUGGCCAGCACAAGAGUGUCUUCACGGCUUGGGGCUUGGCAUAGACAAAGAUGACGAUUGACGACUUUUUCAAGCUGUUGUCGAGCACUUGGUGAAUAUCACGCUGCUAGCUUUGUCUUCACCCGAUUCUUGGGAUUUCUUGAUGACACACGGAACGACGACGAGAUUGUGUCUAGAGCAAGCUGGCGAGGACACAAAUCUAGUGAGGGCUCUGGCAACGACAAAGUCACGAGCAAGGAAGGACGGGUUCAAUAGCUCGACGGCAAACGCGAGCACGCGCGAAGCCCGAUGGACGAAGAGCGAGUGCGACGCAGUGACAACGAGCAGGCGCGCGAGCGUUAACGCUAGCCAGCGGCAAGCACGAGUGCUAAGGUACAACCGACAACACUCGGCGAGCACGCAGCGAAGCACACAACUGCGACGACAGUCGAAUCAGCAAUAGAGCGUUGGCGAACUCGACGAACACGACCACGGUCGCGUGCUGACACGGAUAGGACAACGACAUCUGACGAGUUGAAGCACCAGCGAGUAGCCGACGCGGGUGAGCAAAGCAGAUAGGACGCCGGGCGUCGUGGUGAGCUAGAAAAGGAUUUGGCACGGGAGCUCGACGCGUCGUGGCAAGCAGAGAACUUUGCGCACACAACAGAGGGGCUCGACACGCUCAGCAGGGGCGAACCAGGGGCGCGCGAGAUCCAGGAAGAGGGAGCAGAGGAUGGGCGCGCCGCCAUGAGAGAGGACUGGGGGGUCACGGCGCAGCGGGUUGGGCACCAUAAAGAGGGAAGAGCUCGGCGAGCUCGAAGGAAAUGGGGAGGAAGAGCAGGGAGGGCACGCGGAUGGCGUGACUGCCAGGGAGGAACGCCGUACAGGGCAGGGCGAGCUCACCAGGAAUCUCAGCGCCCAGGAGUCGGGCGCGUGGCCAUGGAAAGACAGAGAGAUGGGCUGGGCUCCGACAGGGGAAGUCGCCGCGAGGGAGCUCCAAGGCUUGAACGGCGACAAAUGGGGCAGGAAAAACACUGAGGAGAUUCAGGGAGAUGGGCAACCGAGCUAGGCUGCGACGGCCAUGGCGAGCUGGGCCAUGGAGAUAGCGGAGCAGGGGCCACGACGCAAAAGAGCGAGCAGAGGGCUUGGGCACCGGCAGAGAGGAGCACGCGGCUGAGCUGAAGCUAGCGCGCGCAGGGAGAUGGAAUCCGAGCGCAGGGCGAGCUCUGGGAAGGUCCGCGCGACGCAGGGGGAAAGUGCUGGAGGUGGAUGACGCGCAGGGGCGAGCUGUAGGCACCGAGCAGAGUGACGGCAGCAACUUGGGCGAGAUCCGUACUGGGCGUAGGGAGACACGCAAGGUCGACGAGGUUGGCCGGGGUGCCAUGGGCGAAGUGGAGGACGAGUAGAGAGGGUCGCGAUCUGAGCUGGGUGAGCUCCAUGGCCGAACAGAGAGCGAGGUACCAGGGAGAUUCGAUUUGGCCGAGCCGGCAGAGGAGGAACCCCGCGAGCUAGAGGAACGCGCGGUCGGAGCAGAGGAGCGUGCACCAGGGAGAACCGAGCGGGCGCUGGGCACGGACACCGGUGGGGAAAGCCGUCGCGCAGAGAAGGAAGAUGAGCGUGCGGCCAGCCUGGAGGAGCAGGGGUGCGACACAGGAGGAGGAAGAUGGCCGAGCGAGCACCUGAGACAGGCGACGGUGGCCAUGGGCAGGGAACUGGACAGGGCGCGUCCCGAGCAGAGGGAUGAGCGCACUGGAGCUCAGGAGCGACUGGUGAGCGCUGCAAUUGACAGAGAGAAGGGUUCGGCGAUUUGAAGAAGAUGGGGAGGAGAUCGGAUACGAAGGAGACGGGGACGGCGGGGUAAAAAAUCAGCGACGGGAUAGGAACGCUGACCAUGCGAGGCGGUGAGAAAAAUAUCAGGCAGAGAGGCGGCUGGGAGAUAAGGAUUUCCUGGGAUAUUUUCUAUUUUUUUCAGAUUUUUAAUUUCUUUAACCAAAAAAUCACAGAUAUUUGUGGUUCUGAUAUUUGGAUUAGAGAGAUAUUUAAAAGGUCGAACCAAAAUAAGUUUGACAGAAUAUUUGAUAAAGAUUUGAUGUGAUGACUAAUCUGGAGUCAGAUGAAUUUGUAUCUGUUAUUUAUACUUAAAGAUUUAGAUCGAGAUAAGAUACACACGAAUCGAACCAAACAAGAUUUGAUCUGGUUAAAAAUCAGAUGAACAUACGUCUAACAUCUGAACACAUGUUUCCACAGCCAGGUUAAUUUAUCACUGAAUCGAAGCUCAAUUUUUGGAUCCUCGUACGCGAUUUCACGGUUGACGAGGGGGAACCGAAUUAUUUGCACCAAAAACCUUAGUCGACGAGUUCAGAUAAAUUUGUUCGGGAUAAAAUCAUCUCAGUGGGUCGGGCUUCUGAAUUCGUGUUCGCCGAGCGAUGAACUUUAAAUAAUCACCGGACGCACCGAUUUUCGGAACGACUAUGUUCCGAACAUCACAAAAAAUUAGAAUGAGCCCGGAUAGAUAAAAACGAUGUCGAACUCGUGACAGACGAAAUAGAUGCGAUAUUAAAAUCGUGAUAGGCGAAGAUAAUUAGACCUUAGUAUCCGUCUUAUUCACUGAUAUCACGUGCUUAAAUCUAUACUUGUUGUCAAGCGAAAUAUAAACACCUAGGGUGUUACAGCCCUCCCCCCUUAAAAGAAUCUCGUCCCGGGAUUCGGAGUGAAAGACUUUUAACAGUGGAGAAGCAUGUAAUCCCAUGUCCAUAUCAGCGAUAAUCAUAAGACAGUCCGGAGCGAAGGCGAGUGUCUCAUGAUGUUGUUUCUCUAGUGGACAUAACAUGUAUCGCCUUAAGCUAACUUAGAGAUGUCCACCAAUAGAAAUGAUGUCUGCCAGAAGAACACAUAAGGUUCCAUGUGUGCAGUUUGCUUUUUCUGAUGACACUGUACUAUCUGAGUCGGUUGAGCGAGCGGUAGAUAUGCGAUUUUACCCAAACAGAAUCAGAUGCAACCUCUUGGGUAAAACACACAUAAAGAGGUUUACCAACAAGUGGAAAAGUUCAUAGCGCACGAGACAGGUGUGAAUGUCGAAUAACAUCACAGUUGACCCGUGGCUAGCCAGAAAAUCCAAGUCCCUGAAAAUGAUGGAGACUCGAAAAAUCACCAGUGAAGGGAUCUAUAGAUGCUGCCUUCGCAACCAAUCCAUUUUAUCGAGCACUAGGCAUGGCUUGACUUGAUCACUAAUGCUGGAAAAGCACACGUGAGGCAAUCGAGGCGUGACUAGAGCGAUGAUUAGGUGGUUACUGGCUGACUUAAUUUUGAUUCUUGUAAACACUUUCUUAAGAUGGGUUGAACCAAAGUGAGUUUAGACAACUCGAUAAAACAAUCUCUAAACUCAACCUUCGUUCAUUGGGCAGUUACAAGUUAGUAAAACCAAUUUGUUGAACUACUUUUGACAUUGAGCAAGUCCUCUCAGUACCAUCGGUAAGCCAACGGUCAAGAGUUCACAUUUGCUAACAAAAGGUCAUGCAUCUGGGUAUAAAUCCAUUUGGUCAAGUUGUUCAUCCAUUUCUCCAUGCGAGAUGGAUUAUCCAGUUGGUUAGGGAAUACAUGGAUUAAAUAAGAGAGCGAAUGAACAAACUCCUGCAUCUCAUCAGCAGGGGAAAGUCAAUCUCCGUUUUGGGAGCUAAUCAGUUGUCUCUCAACACUAAAAUGCUCCAAGGCUUCACCUUUACACAAAGGAUGUAAAGGGAACUUGUAUGAGUAGUCACUACCAAGGUCAAAAGAAAUAAGACCACACAUGAAAGUGGUAUGCCCUUUUGAUCCAACAGAGAUGAUAGAUGCUGCUUGAUCACUUCACAAACAACAUAGAAAUUGUUUCAAGGAAGAGGUCUACGGAAGAUAACAGAUUGAUAUAAUCUCAUAAUGGAUUAUGACUACUAACGGUGAUACUAGCGUGUGUCGAGUAGCGCAACCAUGUGCGCACACACAGAAGGCCCUCAGUUUCGUCACGUCACCACUGGAUUUAGUCAUAACACCAUUAUGAGACAUAACCAAUAAGAAAUCUCACGCGACACAAAUCAAUUGGGUAAGGGUGACAAUAUACAAAGAGAUACUCCACCUAUAAGGAUAGUUACAAGUAGAGAGCCAAAUAGAUCAUGGCCCGAUGAAAUGAAUAGGGCAUGGCCAUAACCUAAAUUUGAUGAAAGGAGUACGAUGGGAGGCUGAUAAUUUAGCCCGAAGCAUAUUUCUAUGCCCAUCAUAGAGAUUACAAGGUCAAGGAUUAGUAUCUAAUUAGAUACGGAGGAAAACAAUUAUAAGGUUAAGUUGGUAUGCCUUCGAUAGAUAUGGGAAAACCAAAGGCAUCAAUCUCAAGAAAAUGGUCGGACAUGUCUCUCCUGGGUUAAGUUGAUAAAGCAACAUGGCGAUCUUCAAGAACAGGCAAACUGGAAUAGAGACAUCAGCUUGCACAAAUCAAACAAGGGAAUGGUUUUAGAAGGAAACAUGACUCGAGAUUCUUGUUUCAAAUCCGGGUACACUUUAUGUCCAACGAAAAAGUUAUCUAAGCAUUUAUUUGCAUGUCUUGGGUCAUGGAGUGAUGACGAAAAAUUCAAAUUUUGGGUCAGGAUUCACUAAAUAAGAACAUGGCCUAGUUUUGGGUUUAGGCAAACAAGUCACCAAUAGUCUAUCGGCACAUCCAUACAAGUGCAAACAUGUAUAACACCUAAAUAGAUUACCUAAAGAACGGAGGACAACUAUUUCAUCGAAGUUCAUAAUACAACAUUACACCACAUUAUCUACAAUCACUGGUUUGCUCGAAUAAAGACGAGAGAAGCAUUUUGGGUGUAUAGGUGACAAACAUGAUGCAACAAUCAGGAUGCAUGCUCGUCUUAUUCGUUCUCACUGAUUUUGCCAACAUAAUGUGGCCAUAGCGUUCUAUAUUGGUGGCAUACGUUCUCUCUCGGUAUUUUGCUAAUCGUCAGCUACACAUACGUUUUCGAGGUUAGUGUAUGUUGGAGGCCUUCGUCUUCCGAAGGUCCUCAAAAACAUGAUUUAAGAAUGUUUCUGGAGUAUAAUACAUGAACAGGUACCUUCGGACUCGGAUCAGAACCACAGUGUGAAGAAGCACAAAGGUGAAGGUUGGCGCAGAGCCGAAGCUAUGCGCAGGGGAGCUUCGGCAUGAUAGCAGAAAAGGAAACCGACUUAAAGGGGAAAAGGCUAUUUAGACCUCAAUGGAUUACUACAGAGUCAUUAGCAAAUGUAAAGGGCAUGGGUGUAAUUUUACAUGGGCUGCGUCCCGUGCCUAUAAAUAGAUGAACAGUGCUCUCGUACUGUUCACGCUGACUUGGCAUUUGCUUUUGCGUCACGCUCGUACCUUUACUGUCUAUCAAGUCGAAGGUACCAAAUGUAAUUCAAUAUUGUUAUUAUUUUGUGAUGAUAAUAUAAUGGAGAUGAAUCGAUAAUACUAUAUGAUUGUUUAUGUUGUCUUUUGUAUUUUACAAGCCUCCUUCUUUUACCAUUAUACCUUCGAUGUACGAAGGUAUGUCUUUCAUGACCUUCGUCUGAAGAUCAUUAUAUCCUAAGGGAAAUAAUGUUUCGAAGGAUGAAGGGCGUUAAUAUUUAACAUUUUAUGUUGCCUUGUUCUUAAUUCAUAGCAUUUGAGAAGGCACAGACAUCCCCAUGGUCAUUUAAAAUCUCCUCAAAGGCUUCGGCCUCGCUGCUGAUCCACUCAAUUGGCCCCUCGAGAUCGCCCCGUACGAAGUUGUCUUCACUUGAAUAUGUGUCAACUUUGGCGAAGCUAGUUUUUAUCUUUUCCACACAUUCUACAGAUUUUUCAUAACAACUUUCUUUUGAAGAGCGAAGUUCUACAACUGUUUUCCCAAAAAAAUUUCCAAUAAUCACUGGCGUCUCGGUCAGCUUCGGCAAUAGCACACUUCAAUUUCGCUUCAGCCAGCUGUUUCCGAAGGUCAUCAAUUUCGCAUUUCUGGGCUUCAGCUUGAGCUUUGGAAGUAGCUUCGUCUUCUUUUAUUUUGUUCACCAAUGAGUUUAAAAUUUUAUCUUUUCAAGACCUUCUUUCCUUAGUUCAAUUACUUCGGAACGAAGGUUGUUCAAAGCUAUAGUGCAUCCUUCGUCUUCGGCACUUUUUUGCGCCCUGAGGGCAUUGCUAAGAAUCAGGCCCUGCAAAAGAAGUGCGGUAUUAAGUAUAAGCAAAUAAAAAAAAAUUUAAGUACAAAAAACACAUUCUCACACCUUUAAACUAUUAUAUGCUAAGCUGUCGGCCAAUUCAUCUUUCGAUAGCACCGAAAGCCCGUCUUCUAGUGUCGGGAAUCCGAAGCUUCUGCCCAUCUCUCGGCAGACAGCAAUCUCCUUGUUGUCUGGGAGACAAUACAAGAAAUCUUCUUCCCCGUUGCCGUUGAAUAUUAAUGCCCCCUUUGGAUAUUUCAAUUUCUGGGCAUAAUAUUGAGCUUCUCGCUUUUCUUCUUCAGAUAACCUUUUUCCCGAAGCGUGUCGUACAAUAUAAUCAUGUACUUCGGAAGAUGCUUCAGGAGUAGAAGUGACAGUUUUUUCAGGCAGAAUUUGUUUUGCAGCUUCUUUUUUCGUUUCCUUUUCUCCGGUUUCCAAGGAUUUCUCCUUGGCGGGCUUUGAAGGCCCAGCUUCGGUCUCAGCCUGGCUUUUUGCAGCUUCGGCUUCGGUUAGUUUUGUCUCAGUCUGCGUUUUUGAAGCUUCGGCAGUUUUCCCUGGAGUAGAGCUUGUCUUUAUUGUCUCCAGCACAUCUAGUACGUUGACCAUCCUUUUCCUCUUGGGGGUCGCUGUAAGUUCUUUUUGUGCCUUCGGCACUGUCACUUCUGCCGAAGGGCUUAUAACUUCAAUAUUAUCGGCCUUUGGCUCAGCUGAUUUGGCUAAGAGUGCCUUCGGCAUUGCAACCGGCUCUUCAAUCUUCUGCGUAAGCGCAGGUUCUUUGGCUUCAGUAGCCGAAGAGGUCUCACCGCCAAAUUCGGGCACUGUGGCCGGUUCAAUGUAGCACGGUCGGUGAGUAAGAACCUUCACUUUUCUCCUCUUCGGCGCGGGCUCACUCGGAGCAGCUGAAGUAACAUCUUUCCUAGAAGUUGCACUCUUUCUCUUCUGUCCCCUUUGCGGGUAGCGGUAGUCAGGAUACAUAAAUCCGAUAGCAUCAAAAACUCUAUUUAGCCUCUUCUUUUUUCGGCUCCUGAAGGCCGUAGAUAGUGCGUUACCUUCAGACUUGGAGUAGGCUCCAAGCAGUUUAUCGCUGGUGUUUUCAACGCACUUCAGCCAGUCAUCGUCUGGUUCGAUAAAUUGGUCUCCAAACCUGAAGGUAUAUUUUAAUCGAACCAAACCACCUUCGUUAGGGUUGCUGAUGGUCUCUUUUAGCAUCUCCCAGUUGUCUACCAAUGGCCAUAUCUUGUAGGCCACGUGUUCUUGGACUAAGUCCCUUGUCCCGAUGAAAGAGCAAACUAUGCCGAAGGCCUUUCGGCAUCCUUCGGCUGUCUCAUCAACCUCUACCUUCGGUUUUCGGAGACCGAAACGCCGCCAGAUGGGGCGCAUGAUGAUCUCUUUAAUGUCUUCUCGUGUUUUUAAAUCAUUUUUCACAUAGAACCAUUCUUUCAUCCAGUCCCCAGGCCAUCUCUUCCGAAAAGUUGGCACUGGGCAACUUGAGCCAGAACGAGCAACGAAGCUAUAGCAACCAAAAUUGUUAUGAUACUGCUCUUUACCUCAGGGCUUCGUCUCAUAUAAAAGUUCGUGCAUACUGCAGAAACUUUUCGCACUUGGCUCCAAGCCCUGACUCCUUACGGCCCAGACGAAGAUUCCCAUUCUUAUGAUUGCUUUGGGAGUAAUUUGGUGAAGGAAAAUCUGGUAUAUCUUUAAAACCUCAACCAUAUAUCUGCUUAAGGGGAACCGAAGCCCAGCUUUGAAAAAGCUUCGGAAAAUCACGACUUCAUUCUCUUCGGGAACAGGAGAAGUCCUAUCUCCGUUGUUAGCCCUCACAAUAGACAUAUCUCGAAAAUAUCUUCCCCUCAUAUUAUCAAGAUGACUCUGUUUAAUAGUUGAUUUUCCGAAAACUGCAUGACUUGGUCGCCAGGGUCGAUCUUUGGAGUCUUUGCCUCCACUUUCCACAUCAUAACUGUCGCUGUCACCGGUGUCUUCAGAUAAGCCUUCUAAAAUCUCCCUAGUAAUCUUUUCUGUAUUUGUCUUUGCUAUUGAUUCAAUAAAGCCAGCAGUCUUCUCCUUAGAGAGCUUCUCCUCCUCGCUCAGCUUCGUCUCAGCAACAACUUUCUUAUCUUGAGACAUCUCUUCAGAAAUGAUGAAAAUGUGCUCUUAAAACCGAAGCUUAGAAAAUCUAAAAAACCAAGCAAGUGUUGGUAGGCAAGAGCUAAAAAUUGAGCAAGUAGAGCAUACGGCAAAAAAGCGUGCCAAAUGAGCUCGUGGUGUGCUCCUAUUUAUACAUCUAGCACGUUGCAAAAUGGAGGGCCCCGCUUGUCAUUGAUUGUUGCUAUUCUAGCAAAGGGAAGGUGUUUUUUCGGACCUUCGGCUCAAGGCCUUCGUCCAUAUCGCAAUCUGAAUUCGUUAUUCUAACAAAUUAACCUUGCGAGGGGCUACUGUUGGGGGCCUUCGUCUUCCGAAGGUCCUCAAAAACAUGAUUUAACAAUGUUUCUGGAGUAUAAUACAAGAACAGGUACCUUCGGACUCGGAUCAGAACCACAGUGUGAAGAAGCACAAAGGUGAAGGUUGGCGCAGAGCCGAAGCUAUGCGCAAGGGAUCUUCGACAUGAUAGCAGAAAUGGAAACCGACUUAAAGGGGAAAAGGCUAUUUAGACCUCGAUGGAUUACUAUAGAGUCAUUAGCAAAUGUAAAGGGCAUGGGUGUAAUUUUACAUGGGCUGCGUCCUGUGCCUAUAAAUAGAUGAACAGUGCUCCCGUACUGUUCACGUUGACUUGGCAUUUGCUUUUGCGUCACGCUCGUACCUUUGCUGUCUAUGAAGUCGAAGGUACUAAAUGUAAUUCAAUAUUGUUAUUAUUUUCUGAUGAUAAUAUAAUGGAGAUGAAUCGAUAAUACUAUAUGAUUGUUUAUGUUGUCUUUUGUAUUUUACACGCCUCCUUUUACCAUUAUACCUUCGAUGUACGAAGGUAUGUCUUUCAUGACCUUCGUCUGAAGAUCAUUAUAUCCUAAGGGAAAUAAUGUUUCGAAGGACGAAGGACGUUAAUAUUUAACAUUUUAUGUUGCCUUGUUCUUAAUUCAUAGCAUUUGAGAACAAGUCCCCAACAGUGUUCCUACAGAAAAUUUCAUCACAACCCAUUUCCCAAUGAUGCAAGUCACAGAUGACAGUUUGUCACAGUUUAUACUCCAUAUAUUGCUAUAUGGAGGCCAGCUCAUCAUUAAGCGUCGAGCCAUGCAUAGGCGUCGUUGCCACACUUUAACCAUAGGACAACUCAUUAUGGUAACUCACCUUCUUACCUGAGCGUAGGUGCGUCGUUGCGAGUACAUUACACUUCUCAGUAUUCCCACACAUGUAUACCCAUACACACACAUGGGGCACUAAAUUCCCAGAAAAGUAAUUACUCCACAUCGCAGCCUUCAUAUAUACAUAUGUGGAACAUGUAUAUACUCAAACAAUUUUUACACUCUCCCCUAGACCGACGGUUGUUCGGUCAUGCUCUCACAUCUCACCUUACCUUGAGCGUCGAUCCAUUCAAAACUGAAUGGCCUCAAAAAUAACAAUACACAUGUAUGCAAUACCCCCGGUUGUGGGUUAGUGGUUUUGAUCUAAGCCACCUGAUAGUCCUUAACUUAGGGCUUAAUAGAGGAUGUCACUAGCAUUGUAGUUUUUCAAAGCUGUUUUUCAAAACCAAACAAUGUGUUUAGUUGAAAAUAGGUUUUUCGAAACCAAAACUUUUUUUUGAAAAUACGUAUGUGACCAUAGAUACUUAAUCCUGCUCUGAUACCAGCUGUGGCAGAACCUUCCAAGUUAUUGGGCCCACAUGCACCUGUCCUUGUCCCAAAGACCUCAGACGGCUAUGCAUGUGCACCAGAUAACUUAACAGGAUCUGUCCGAGUGCCCCAAGGACCUCGGAUAAACCACUUACAACUAGGAUCACAAGAUUAAGUAAACACAAAUCAUACACCAACAUUUUGUAGCGGAAAUCUUAUUACCAAAUUUUACAAGUUACAUCAAGUUUACAUUGUUUAUCAGAGUGAUUACAGAAGUGGUUCAAAGAAAUAAACUUUGAAAUGUUAUAAAUUGUUUAUAAGUUUGAAAUAUAUGCUAGCUUAAGUGAACAUCAUCAAUAAGAAGUAUAGAAGAAGUACAUAGACUUAUAGAAGGCCAUGCCCACCGACGCUUAACACCAAUCACAAUCAAAGUGAUUCAUAACCUGCAGCAACAAUGGGUAAAACCCUAAGUACGUAAGUACUCAGCAAGACUUACCCGACUAAUGAAAAGGCUCUCAAGGAUAUGCUGGCUUGUCAGGAAUCAAGGUAAGGCUUAUUAAUUUCAAAGACUCAUUUUGCAGAAGAGCUUACUAGUAGUGAGUCCUUAUGCCAAAAUUUUACUUCACAAGUUAAGUACUUUUCCUGAAUCUAGAUUUUCCUAAUCUAGAGCAUUCACUUGUCCUGGUUUAGCUUUCUUUUACCCAAAUUGUUAUUUUACUUAUAAACUACGAUGAGUGGUCAGUGAGUUGAGUCUCCAUGACCGAGGAGCAACGACGAUUCGAACCAAUUAUACCCAGCUGGGGAUCCCUAACCACACAACAUAUGUAGCACUUAACCCUUGCAUAUGUCAACCGUUCCCACAGAUCCUCCACAACGUGAACCGGUCCACGCUACACGGGAGCACAGUACUCCUCCAUCCAGCCUCUAGCCAGGAGGGUACACGCUACUCCCACCAUCACCCACGCCCAGUGCGCGGUUGUCUUUUCACGUAUGGAAUAGCCAGGUUCAGGCUUACCGGAGCAUGUGGUUAGUUGCAAAGUCUCACCUCAUCAUGCCUACAUCGAACGGUCCUUAAUCGACACAGAUGGGCAAACUUUCCCGCUCAACGUCUGGUCCCCACUACAUAUUAUUUCCCAAAACAUGAUACCUGAGAGAGGUACCCUACUUGAAUGAUGAAAUCAUCGCGACCACAAUCGCUUCAUCAUCACAAGUCAUUUUAUUUCACAAACUCCCAUAUCCUGUGAUACACAUCAUAUUUUAAAAAACAAUCCUAAAUUAAUAAGCAGGGCUAAGCAUCACUAAAUUUUCAUAAAACGGGUAUUAGGGUUGUUUAAUCAAGGAAAGAAAUGCAUCAACGGUUUAGCACACAACUCCUAUCAUCUAAUGCAUCAAACAAGGUGAUAAAAGAUUUUAAAACAGCAAGGAGGUGGCAAAUGCACCGGGGCUUGCCUGAAUAACACUAGGUUAGUGUUUGUUAGGCGACGUCCACUUGACGAUCAUCCUUGUCCUAGCACUUGAUCAGGGAGGUUCGUCCUUCAAAAUCACCAUGCGGAUUAGCCCGCGCUUGGGGUCGACUUGGUUUGUUUUCCGUAUCACGCGAUUAUUUAUCGUACCUCAUGAGAUGCACGAUGCACAUGUAUGAGCACGAUUAUAAAUAGUACAAGAUAGAUAAUUUACGCUAAAAAGGAUGAAACACUUAUAACCUAUAACCAAGCAUAUUUUAUACAAUAUACCAAUUACAACUUUAGAACUAAAAGACCUAAAGUGUUUAUACACAUUACUGAUCAGACAAACCCUAGAUUUUGGUUGAAACUGAUAUAUCGAUGUUACUUGAUCCUAAAUAUUCGAAGUAGCAAUCAACAUUCAUUCAAAUCAUGAAAUCGACCAACACAUAGAAUAUCAUACCUAGUUUAGAGAGCACACUAAACAACUUAUAACUUUAACUUCAAAAUUCUUGGACACCUAACACUUAUAAAAUUUGAUAGAACUUUCAUUAACUUUCUAAACUAAUUUAUCGGUUAACCUGUGUAUCAUAUAUAUUAAUAAAACUACCCAUUUUUAACACCUACAACCCCGCAACACUGAGACCUAUUGAGACCUCUUUCAUCCUACGACAUCGACCAAUUUACCAAAACAACUCAGGCAAUCUAAUAAAUAUUAUACCUAGUCAAACCAUCUACCAAUCUACUAACACGGAUAACAAAUUUACUUACCCUGACUAAUUCGACGCGAUAGUCGCAAGCACGACGACAGUUUCCGGUUGACGUCAUUGAUCACACACGUCUGGCGAGCGAGGCAUACAGUUUCCAUUCUUGACCAAAUACCCGUUGUUGGGGGCCUUCGGCUUCCGAAGGUCCUCAAAAACAUGAUUUAACAAUGUUUCUGGAGUAUAUUACAUGAACAGGUACCUUCGGACAUAAGCCAAAACCACAAUAUGAGGAAGCACAAAGAGUACGAAGGAUAGCGCAGAGCCGAAGCUAUGCGCAGAAAAGCUUCGGCAUGGUAGCAGGAAAAGGAACCGACUUAAAGGGGAAAAGGCUAUUUAGACCCCGAUGGAUUACCAUAGAGUUAUUACUAAAUGUAAAGGGCAUGAAUGUAAUUUUACAUGGGCUGCGUCCCGUGCCUAUAAAUAGAUGAACAGUACCCAUACUGUUCACAUUGACUUGUACUUGCUCAUACGUCACACUUGUACUUUUUUACCUUCUGUGAAGCCGAAGGUACAUUUAUAAUUCAGCAUUGUUCCUGUAUUACUAAGAGCAAUAUAUUGUUAAUGAAUUGAUAAUAUUAUGUGAUUAUUCAUCUUGCCUCUUAUAUUUCAUAUGCUUCUUUUAUUAACACAUAUUACAUUAAUGAAGGUGUGUCCUUUAUAACCUUCGUCUGAAGAACAUUAUAUCCUAAGGGAAAUAAUGCUUCGAAGGACGAAGGGACAUUAACAUUUAACAUUCUGUGUUGCCUUGUUCUUAAUUCAUAGCACUUGAGAACAAGUCCCCAACAUUGGCGCCCACCUCCGGUGAACUCACUUCCACUUUUUGAGUUUUGAACACCUUCGGCAAGCAUCAACGUUCGUCAUGCCGCCGAAGAAAGCUUCAGCAACAGGGGCUGCCGCUGCAGCCACUGGAUCCCAAUCAGGAUGCUCUUUCUCUUAGGGAGGCCCGAAACCAGAAGAGGAAGGCCACCAGUCCAAUGCCUCAGGAGGACGACUUGGAUCAAGAAAUCCAAAACUUGGAGAUGCUCCAUCAGCAGGUCCAACGGAAGAAGGAGAAGAUGGCUCGUCUAGCUGACCUGCAAAGGCAGAUAGACGAAGCCUCUGAAGAAGUUCGUCAUCUUGCUCAAGAUGAGCAGAACCGAAGGCCUCCGCACAGAGAGCUUCAUCAGGAGGGCUUCUACAACGAGGACGACUGGUAUGAAGAUUUCCAUCAUGGAAAUUUUGCUUUUGAUGAUACCUUUCCUCUGUCAAACAGAACUGCAGGCUACACCUUGGCCCCAAUCUUACAAGCCACCCCAGCUCCCCAUGUACGACGGACAUUCAGACCUGAAGCAAUUCUUGAUGAGUUAUGAAGCAACCAUAUCUUCGUAUGGUGGCAAUACUGCAGUCAUGGCAAAGUCUUUCGUCAUGGCUAUCAAGAGUGUUGCACAAACCUGGUACUCCUCUCUUCGGCCAGGAACAAUCACCUCAUGGCAGAAGCUGAAGGACAUGCUGAUAACCAGUUUCCAAGGGUUUCAAACGAAGCCGGUCACUGCUCAAGCUUUAUUCCAGUGCACUCAGGACCAUGAAGAAUACCUUCAGGCGUAUGUUCGAAGGUUCCUGCGUCUGAGGGCACAGACACCAACGGUGCCCAAUGAAAUUGUCAUUGAGGCCAUGAUUAAGGGGCUUCGGCCGGGACCUUCAGCCUAAUACUUUGCCAGGAAACCCCCUCAAACUUUGGAGAAGCUGCUCCAGAAGAUGGAUGAGUAUAUUCGAGCUGACAAUGACUUCCGCCAAAGAAGGGAGGAAGCAUACAGGUUCUCUGAAAUGACCAGGGGCUUCAGAGGAAGAAUCCACCCGAGGCACGUCAGGUCAAUUCACAACUCUACUCAGAGUGAUGACAAAGGAAGUCAACAACAGAGGCCACAGUAUUCCUCGCAAGCUUCGGGGCAGCAACAAAGCUCUUUCCGGCCGCCAGCUCCAAGGGGCAGAGGCGCUAGGGGCUUCGGAGGAAGGUUUGGGGAUCAGCCCAGGAAAAUUUAUUGUCUAUUAUGUGGUGAGGACAAGGGCCACACCACCAGGAUGUGCCAUGUUACCAUCCAGAAGCAAAAGGAGAUAGCAGAAGCUGCAGCACAACAGAGUCAGCCGAAGCAAGUCAUGCAUACUGCUUCGUACCAUUCGCCUUACAUUCCAGAGUAUGUAGGCAACCACCCUGCAACUUCUGUUGCUUCGGCAAGCCAACCUCAGGCAUCUUGGCAACAGCCUCCACCUCCACCACCAACGCAACGAGGCCAGUAGCCAGAAGGGAGUCAGCACACUCACCUCCAACGGGACUUCAGAGAAGAGUCCGAAGCUCGCACAGUCAAUAGUACUAUGCCAGAGUCGAAGCAUAUUUACUGACAAAUAUCCUACCCCGACAUCAGCUUUUCGCAUUCAGUAUCAUUUUCUUUUAAUAAGGAACAAUUAUUGGAAGCUUAAGUGCUUUUGGUCGUUUUCAAUCUCUUGUAACAGUUUCGCUUUUUACCAUAAUGAAAAUAUAUCUUCUCCAUAGGCUUAAGUUGUCGAAGCAUAAGAAUCUAUGGUGGCAAGGACAACCUUCGAAUUAUCAAAAAUUUGUUCUAAGGAACGCAGUAUAGGUUCCCCGAAGCAGCAAAAAGUCGUUCAUAACAGAGCGCAGCGUAAGUUUUCUGCUCAAAAGUCAUUCCAAAGGGAAUGCAGAGCUUACAGCGAAAAAUAAACGAUGAUACCACCGAAGUAAAAGGCGAAGAAGCUCCUAAGGGAGGCUUACAACGAAAAAUAAACGCUGAUUCCGCUGAAGUAAAAGGCGAAGAAGCUCCUAAGGGAGGCUUACAGCGAAAAAUAAACGCUGAUACCGCCGAAGUAAAAGGCGAAGAAGCUCCUAAGGGAGGCUUACAGCGAAAAAUAAACGCUGAUUCCGCUGAAGUAAAAGGCGAAGAAGCUCCUAAGGGAGGCUUGCAGUAAAAAAUAAACGUCGAUCUUCGGCAAAUAUCAUUCUGCAUAACAUCAUACCAUCACAUCAUUUGCAUGAGCAUAACAUCAUACAUCAUAUUGCACCAAUGACGCAAGAAGGGGGUUUCAAUGUUGAUAUUCGGAAAUUGUUUCGAAGAAACAGUGCCAAGGCACGAAAAUAAUUAUUGAAGAAGCAUGCCUUCAUCAAAUUCUGAAAUGAAAAGAUCUAUUGGAUACUGAUUUUUAUGAAGAUUGGAUGUUUUUAUGAAAAUACGGAUAUUAUUUACGAAGCAUGAAAAGAAGGGAAGGUGUUUUUUCGCCGAAGGCUCAAAAGACGGUAUGUAUGUAAAGUUUCAUGCAUCGUAAAAAAUUGAACCAUAAAUAGCUUAUAUAUUACAUUCAAAGUUACAAAAUAUUACACAUGUUGUUCAACAAAUAUUACAUUCCAAAUAUUUUUACAAAAACAUCUAAUCUUCCCUUAGAACUACUUCUGCAGCUUCGUUUAGUAGUUGAUCAACAACUUUAUCCAUGAUAGCUUCGGCCAUUUUUCUAAUUUCGUCGUCCCCCUUCGUGUGGGGGUCCGCCGAUGGCUCGGCAGGCUCUGAGGAAGGAGAAAGUACGGAUAUGUUACAAAACGUAAACAAGUUCGAAGUCAAAAAUUACAACAAAGAACCAAAAACUACUAGUCAAUACCUAUUUGCCCUUUGAGAUCCGCACUUUUCUCAGCGGCCUCUGCUACUUUUCUAGCGUCAUGAAUGCCUUUCUCGCUUUUUCGUAUAAUUUCUUGGGCCAUUUCCCGGCCACCAUUGUCCCAGAUGUCGGUGAAAAAUUUUCCACCGACCAGGCUCGCUUCGGCCGAGGGGUCUUUUAUAUCUUCAGAGGAUAAAGUUGCUUCAGAUUGUGCCAAGGAUUUCACAUGGUCACAUCCUUUCCUCUCCAAAAUAGUGGCAAUCCCCCUGGCACCCGAAAAGGCACAUAUGUCUCCACGAGUAUUCAAAAUUUCUUCAAAGGCUUCAGCUUCAUGGCUGAUCCAUCCAAUUGGACCUUCGGGGUCACCUCUUAUGAAGUUCUCCUCACUUGAGAACGCGCCAACGUUGGCGAAGCUGGUUCUUACUUUCUUAACACAUUCCAUAGAUUUUUCAUAGCAUCUUUUCUUGGAUGAUCGAAGCUCUUCAACGUUUUUUUUCCAAAUGAUUUGCCCAUUGUUCACUAAUUUCUCGUUUUGUUUCUUCAAGAGUGUGUUCCUCUUUAGCUCUGGCUAGUUGUUUCCAAAGAUCUUCAAUUUCACGCUUCUGAGCCUCAGCUUGAGCUUUAAAAGUAGCUUCGUCUUCUUUUUAUUCUAUUCACCAAUGAAUGCAAUAUUUUAUCUUUUUCGAGACCUUCGUUCCUUAGUUCAAUUACUUCGGAACGAAGGUUGCUUAGGGCCAUAACACACCCUUCGUCUUCGGCAUCUUUUUGAGCCCUGAGGGCAUUGCUAAGUAUAAGGCCCUGCAAAAAAAAUAUGUGUGUGUGUCAAUAAGAUUAAGCAAAUGAAAAAUUUUGGUUUCAAGAAAUAAUACAAAGACCUCAUUUUUUGCACCUUUAAGCUAUUGUACGCCAAGCUGUCGGCCAGCUCGUUUUUCGACAACACCGAGAGCCAAGCCUCUAAUGUUGGGAAUCCGAAGCUCUUGCCCAUCUCCCGACAGACAGAAAUCUCCUUGCUGUCAGGGAGACAAUACAAGAAGUCUUCUUCUCCGCUGCCGUUGAAUAUCAACACCCCUUUUGGAUAUUUCAGUUUUUGGGCAUAAAACUGAGCCUCUUGCUUUUCUUUUGCAGUCAAUUCUUUCCCCGAGGCAUGUCGUAAAAUAUAAUCGAAAGCUUCGGAAAAUGCUUCGGGGGUGGCAGUGCCAGUUUCUUCAGCCAAAAUUUGUUCUGUUGUUUCUAUUUGUUCGGCUUCCAAGGAUUUCACCUUGGCGGGCUCUGAAGGCCCAGCUUCAGUUUCAGCUUGGUGCUUUGAAGCUUCGGCACUCAAGGCUUCGAUUUGCACUUCGGAAGUCUCGCCAAUUUUCUUCGGAGUAGUGCUUGAAUAGUUUAUUGUCUCCAAUACAUCCAGUACAUUAACCAUUCUUUUUCUCUUGGGGUCGUCAUCGGCAUUGGCAUUGGCACCUCAAUUUUUGUUGAAGGACUUAGAAUUUCCGAUGUCUUUGUUUCUUCAGCCCUCGGUUCUUCUAUUUUUUCCGUCGCCGGCACUUUGGCCAGCCCUUCAAUAUUCGGCAGGAGAGUUGGCUCUUUGGCUUCGGUGGUCGAAGAGGUCUCACCGACAAACUCAGGCACUGUGGCCGGUUCAAUAUAGCGUGGCCGGUGUGUGAGAACCUUCAUCUUUUUCCUCUUCGGCGCCGGCUCGCUAGGAGCGGCUGAAGCAACCUCCUUCGCAGAAGAUGUAUUCUUUCUUUUUUGACCUCAUGUUGGAUAACAGUAGUUGGGGUAGACAAACCCAAUUGCAUCAAAUACUCGUUUGAGUCUUUUCUUCUUUCGGCCUCCGAAGGCCGCUGAUAGUGCAGUGUCUUCGGCCUUCGAGUAUGAUCCAAGCAGUUCAUCACUUAUGGCCUCAAUACUUUUCAGCCAGUCAUCAUCUGGCUCGACGAAUUUAUCUCCGUAUUUGAAUGUGUAUUUUAGCCUAACUAGUCCACCUUCGUCAGGUUCCCUGACGGUUUCCUUCGGCAUUUCCCACUUUUCUGCAAGUGGCCAUACUCUGAAGGCAAUGUGUUCUUGGAUCAAAUCCCUUGUCCCAAUAAAAGAGCAAAUCACGCCAAAGGCUCUCUGGCAUUCUUCGGCUGCUUCAUCCAUUUCCACCUUCGGCCUCCGGAGGCCGAAGCGUUGCCAGAUAGGGCGCAUAAUGAUAUCUUUAAUAUCUUCCCGUGUUUUCAAAUCAUUUUUCACAUAAAACCAUUCCGUCAUCCAGUCGCCGGGCCAUCUCUUUUGAAAGGUUGGCACGACACAGCUUGACCCAGAUCGGGUACCGAAGCUGUAGCAGCCAAAAUUGUUGUGAUACUGCUCUUUACCCUAGGAUUUUGUCUCAUACAAUAGCUCAUGUAUGUUGCAGAAACUUUUUGCAUUUGGUUCUAAACCUUGGCUCCUCACGGCCCAGACGAAGAUGCCCAUCCUUAUGAUUGCUUCGGGAGUAAUUUGAUGAAGGAAGAUUUCAAAUAUCUUCAGUACUUCUACCACGAAGUUGCUCAAAGGAAACCGAAGCCCAGCCUUGAAGAAACUUCGGAAUAUCAUGACUUCAUUCUCCUCAGGAGUCGGACAAGUUUUCUUUCCUUCGUCAGCCCUUACAGUAGAUAAAUCCUGAAAAUAUCUACCCCUCAUACUAACAAGAUGGCUUUGUUUAAUGCUUGAUUUUCCAAAAACUGCAUGGUUUGGUCGCCAUGGUCGAUCUUCGGAACCUUCACCACCACUAUCCACAUCAUAACUGUCACUAUCACCAGUGUCUUCAGAUAAACCCUCUAAAAUCUCCCUAGUAAUUUUCUCUGUAUUUGUCUUUGCUAUUGAUUGAAGAAAGCCGAGAUGCAUCUCCUCAGAAAGGCUUAGCUUCGACCCAGCAACAGCUUUCUUAUCUUCAGACAUCUUCGAAAAUGCUGAGAAAGUGCUCUCGAGACCGAAGCUUAAAAAUUUUAAAAGCCAAGCAAGUGUUGUUGCGCAAGGGCUAAAAGUCGAGUGAGCAAGAGCAGAGGGCAAGAAAGCGUGCCAAAUGAACUCGUGGUGAGCUCUUAUUUAUACACCUAGUACGUUGAAAAUUGGAGGGUCCCGCUUGUCAAUGACUGUUGCUAUUCUAGCAAAGGGAAGGUGUUUUUUCAGACCUUCGACUUAAGGCCUUCGUCCAUGUCGCAAUAUGAAUUUAUCACUAAUAAAUUAAUAUUGCGAGGGGCUACUGUUGGAGGCCUUCGGCUUCCGAAGGUCCUCAAAAACAUGAUUUAACAAUGUUUCUGGAGUAUAUUACAUGAACAGGUACCUUCGAACAUAAGCCAAAACCACAAUAUGAGGAAGCACAAAGAGUACGAAGGAUAGCGCAGAGCCGAAGCUAUGCGCAGAAAAGCUUCGGCAUGGUAGCAGGAAAAGGAACCGACUUAAAGGGGAAAAGGCUAUUUAGACCCCGAUGGAUUACCAUAGAGUUAUUACUAAAUGUAAAGGGCAUGAAUGUAAUUUUACAUGGGCUGCGUCCCGUGCCUAUAAAUAGAUGAACAGUACCCGUACUGUUCACAUUGACUUGUACUUGCUCAUACGUCACGCUUGUACUUUUUUACCUUCUGUGAAGCCGAAGGUACAUUUAUAAUUCAGCAUUGUUCCUGUAUUACUAAGAGCAAUAUAUUGUUAAUGAAUUGAUAAUAUUAUGUGAUUAUUCAUCUUGCCUCUUAUAUCUCAUAUGCUUCUUUUGUUAACACAUAUUACAUUAAUGAAGGUGUGUCCUCUAUAACCUUCGUCUGAAGACCAUUAUAUCCUAAGGGAAAUAAUGCUUCGAAUGACGAAGAGACAUUAACAUUUAACAUUCUGUGUUGUCUUGUUCUUAAUUCAUAGCACUUGAGAACAAGUCCCCAACACCCGUGGGAUUCCUUUUUGUCG
RNAcentral lists this long non-coding RNA (22403 nucleotides) under Zea mays. RNAcentral describes it as "long non-coding RNA (ZMAY_LNC004259)". The record is from RNAcentral. Lineage: Eukaryota; Viridiplantae; Streptophyta; Magnoliopsida; Poales; Poaceae.